This 572-nucleotide ribosomal RNA is filed under the name uncultured Bacillota bacterium. RNAcentral's name for it is "bacterial SSU rRNA". It matches the Rfam family "Bacterial small subunit ribosomal RNA", at positions 352 to 916 of the family's 1533-position model. Lineage: Bacteria; Bacillati; Bacillota. The record is from RNAcentral.
CAGUAGGGAAUCUUCCGCAAUGAGCGAAAGCUUGACGGAGCAACGCCGCGUGAGUGAUGAAGGCCUUCGGGUCGUAAAGCUCUGUCCUAAGGGAAGAACACCUCAGUAGAUAACAUCUGCUGGGAUUGACGGUACCUUUGGAGGAAGCCUCGGCUAAUUACGUGCCAGCAGCCGCGGUAAUACGUAAGAGGCAAGCGUUGUCCGGAAUCACUGGGCGUGAAGGGUGCGCAGGCGGUCUAGUAAGUCAAGAGUGAAAUCCAUCGGCUCAACCGGUGAACUGCUUUUGAAACUACUAGACUUGAGAAUAGGAGAAGAGAGUGGAAUUCCUGGUGUAGUGGUGAAAUACGUAGAUAUCAGGAAGAAUACCAAUGGCGAAAGCAGCUCUCUAGCCUAAUUCUGACGCUGAGGUACGAAAGCUAGGGUAUCAAACGGGAUUAGAUACCCCGGUAGUCCUAGCUGUAAACGAUGAAUGCUCGCCGUUAUCCCGCUUAAGGGAUAGUGGCUAAGCUAACGCGUUAAGCAUUCCGCCUGGGGAGUACGAUCGCAAGGUUGAAACUCAAAGGAAUUGACGG